CAAUAGCGUAUAUUAAAGUUGUUGCAGUUAAAAAGCUCGUAGUUGGAUUUGUGGCGUACGGUGUGUUCCGGGCACUUGUUGUCUGAGUAACCUGCUGUUGCCAUCCUUGGGUGGAACCUGUGUGGCAUUAGGUUGUCGUGCAGGGGAUGCCCAUCAUUUACUGUGAAAAAAUUAGAGUGUUCAAAGCAGGCUUAUGCCGUUGAAUAUAUUAGCAUGGAAUAAUGAGAUAGGACUUUUUUGCUAUUUUGUUGGUUUGCGCAAAGAGGUAAUGAUUAAUAGGGACAGUUGGGGGUAUUCGUAUUCCAUUGUCAGAGGUGAAAUUCUUGGAUUUUUGGAAGACGAAAUACUGCGAAAGCAUUUACCAAGGAUGUUUUCAUUAA
Molecule: ribosomal RNA, 380 nt
Filed under: uncultured eukaryote
Lineage: Eukaryota
Description: partial 18S ribosomal RNA
Rfam family: Eukaryotic small subunit ribosomal RNA
Source: RNAcentral